GUUUCCUCCUCCUCUUUAAUACGUAGGUGGCGAGCGUUGUCCGGAAUUACUGGGUGUAAAGGGCGCGUAGGCGGGGAUGCAAGUCAGAUGUGAAAUUCCGGGGCUCAACCCCGGCGCUGCAUCUGAAACUGUAUUUCUUGAGUGCUGGAGAGGAAAGCGGAAUUCCUAGUGUAGCGGUGAAAUGCGUAGAGAUUAGGAGGAACACCAGUGGCGAAGGCGGCUUUCUGGACAGUAACUGACGCUGAGGCGCGAAAGCGUGGGGAGCAAACAGGAUUAGAUACCCUGGUAGUCCACGCCGUAAACGAUGGAUACUAGGUGUAGGAGGUAUCGACCCCUUCUGUGCCGGAGUUAACACAAUAAGUAUCCCACCUGGGGAGUACGGCCGCAAGGUUGAAACUCAAAGAAAUUGACGG
RNAcentral lists this ribosomal RNA (413 nucleotides) under uncultured bacterium. RNAcentral describes it as "bacterial SSU rRNA". It matches the Rfam family "Bacterial small subunit ribosomal RNA", at positions 505 to 916 of the family's 1533-position model. The record is from RNAcentral.